GACUGCCAGUGAUAAACUGGAGGAAGGUGGGGAUGACGUCAAGUCAUCAUGGCCCUUACGACCAGGGCUACACACGUGCUACAAUGGCGCAUACAAAGAGAAGCGACCUCGCGAGAGCAAGCGGACCUCAUAAAGUGCGUCGUAGUCCGGAUUGGAGUCUGCAACUCGACUCCAUGAAGUCGGAAUCGCUAGUAAUCGUGGAUCAGAAUGCCACGGUGAAUACGUUCCCGGGCCUUGUACACACCGCCCGUCACACCAUGGGAGUGGGUUGCAAAAGAAGUAGGUAGCUUAACCUUCGGGAGGGCGCUUACCACUUUGUGAUUCAUGACUGGGGUGAAGUCGUAACAAGGUAACCGUAGGGGAACCUGCGGUUGGAUCACCUCCUUACCUUAAAGAA
Molecule: ribosomal RNA, 397 nt
Filed under: Escherichia coli
Lineage: Bacteria; Pseudomonadati; Pseudomonadota; Gammaproteobacteria; Enterobacterales; Enterobacteriaceae
Description: bacterial SSU rRNA
Rfam family: Bacterial small subunit ribosomal RNA
Source: RNAcentral